AACAAUCGCUCUUGGGUUUCUUCUUUUCCGCCCCUCCUCCAAAUCUUCCGACUACCCCCGACUACCCCCGACGACCCCUACCUCUCCCUCUCCCUCAAGUCCGGCCUCGUUGCCCUCUUACAAGACAAGCCCCCCUCGCUGGAACCUCCUCCCGGCCUAUGCUAAAAAUAUUUCUGGAGGAGGGACAUACCUUAGGAGAAGGGACAAACCAUGUCGAAGUCGUGGUUUAAAUUUGGAACCCUAGAAAGAAAAUCCUAACCUUAUGUCAAACGGCUUAAGUGUCAGUUUGUAAGACUCAAUAAAAUAGAAAAUUAACUGAAAAUAAAAUCCAAAAAAUAUAAGAUAGCUAAAUCUAAACUUGACUUAAACCUAUAUAAAUCAGGUUACUUGAGCACUUAGGUGACCGCUAGGGGUGCAAAUGGGUAGGAUCGGGAGACCCGACCCAGUUGAAAAUCGGGUCGGGUCGGGUUGGGUCGAUGUAUAACCCAGACCUGACCCAAAAAAUUUGGAUCUGGUCGGGUCUAGUCCGGGUCGGGUCCAGGUUCAGUCCCUAAAUACCCUGACAAGAAACUAAAUUAACCUGUAAAGAUCACAUUUUUCACAACCUUUCUUGAAUUUAAGAAAUUAAUCUGGUGAAAGUUCAUCUCACAGAAGAGGCAAAACGGAACAGUUUCUUCUAUUUAACUAGCAAAUUCCAGUUGCAAGGAUUAAUUCCAAAAGAAAUAUGCAGUAACCAGAAAGCUUGGGAUAAAUUUUGAAAGGCAUAAAAAAAAACUUCUAAAUCAAAGACCUAGAACAUAAAAAAAGACUUAUAGUCAUAAGAAAAUAAAUAGAUGGCUGCAAUCCAAGUAUGAAAACAAGAUCAAUAAUGUAAACUACCAACCAGAAAUUAUACAAAUAAAACAAAAGCAUUGUCCUUGCUAUUCAUAAAGAAUCAAACCUAAGAUUCAUCACCUUUGCUGUCACUCUCUAACUUCCGAGGCCAACCAAGGUUCCCCUCCAUUCCACCCUCUCUAUUUCUUGUAUCCACCUUCCGGCUCAAACCUCACCUCCUCGUCCUCUCCUCCGCCACAACCGCCUCUUAAUCCCCACCAAAACCCUCCCCUCCUCUCCUCUCUCUCGCUCGCCCCUUUUCCUCCUCCUACAGCCUCCAACCCCAUCGCCGUCGUCUUCCUCCCGUCCCUUCCCCCCCUCUUUGCCCUCCGCGGUGGCUGCGGCAUCUACAUGCAGGACUCCGAUCGCUCUUGGGUUUCUUCUUUCCCGCCCCUCCUCAAAUCUUUCGACUACCCCCGACGACCCCUACCUCUCCCUCUCCCUCUCCCUCAAGUCUGGCCUCGUUGCCCUCUUACAAGACAAGCCCCCCUCGCUGGAACCUCCUCCCGGCCUAUGCUAAAAAUAUUUCUGGAGGAGGGACGUACCUUAGGAGAAGGGACAAACCACGCCGAAGUUGCCGGACCCCGAAGAGACUCGCAGGUGCACAGAAAGGGGAGAUCGAUUCGGGAAGAAGGGAAAGCCAGAUAGGGUCUUCUCCAGAUCUAGGGUUCCUCCGCCGCAACCAGAUAGGGUCUUCCUCUUUUCUAGAUCUAGGGGACUCGGAAGCGAAGAAGGGACUUAUAUCUUAUGGGCUAUGACUAGCGGGCUGCGAGCCUGUGGGCUUGAGGAGUCACAGACUUACGGGACUUGGAGCGCUUUUCCCUUGCGGGCUGCGGGCCUGCGGCUGCGGCUUGUAGGCCUGCGGGUCUAAAGGGGUAAUCCGGCUUCGGGUCGAGUCGGAUAAGGUCUUUUGGUAAACGAUCCAAAAUUGACCCAAAAAAAAAGGGUUGGGUCGGGUCGGGUUGGGUUUACGCGGGUUGGGCCGGGUCACGGGUCAACCUGACCCAUUUGCAGCCUUAGUGACCGCCUAAGGCAAUAAGAAGGUUCUAACACUCAGACGACCUUGACUUGGACCAUCAUAAAUAAUGUCGAUGCAUUCUAUACUACCUAUAUACUUUUGUAAGUAUGCACAUAUAGCAUAUAUAUACAUAUAAAUAUAUGUUUUUUUGCAUGUAUAUGUAUGUAUGUAUACAUGCAUACAUACGUACAUGCAUACACAUAUACACACAAACAAAUUCAUAACGAUAUAUACAUGCAUAUGAGAUAUAUCGUAUGUAUAUAUACACACAUAUAAUUACACACAUAUAUCAUAUGUAUAUCAUAUGCAUAUGACAUAUAAUUACGCAUGUGUUUAUAUAUAUGUAUAUACAACUACAUAAACAUAUAGGUAUGUCCAUCCAUGCAUCCAUGCAUGCAUGUGUGCAUACAUAUAUAUAAACACAUAUAUAUAUAUCCAUGUAUAUAUAUUAUAUAUUAUAUAUAUGUAUAUACAUAUAUAAAUAUUAUAUAUUAUAUAUAUGUAUAUACAUAUAUAAAUAUUUAUGCAUAUACAUCUAUACAUAUAUAGUUAUACAUAUAUAUGUAUAUAUAUAAUAUACACAUAUAGGUAUAUGUAUAUAUCUAUACACACACACAUAUACAUGUGUGUGUGUGUAUGUAUAUAUGUGUGUGGGUGUGUGUAUAUAUGUAUAGAUAUGUAUGUAUGUAUGUAUGCACACCAUUUAUAAUAAUAUAUACAUUCAUGUAACUUUGUGUUCACAUAUAUCAUAUGUAUAUAUGUAUAUGUGUGUUUUUGUAUACAAUUGUCUAUGAAAAAAUAUUUAUACAUACGAUUGUGUACAUAUACAGGAAUCUAAGUACACAUGCACACAUAUAUUUUCACAUACAAUACAUACAUACAUACAUUGUAAUUCUCCUUUUAUAAAUGGCAUAUUAAUGCUUUUAAGGGAGUAAGGUAAAUCAGAUUGGUUGUAUUAGAAAAGUAAAAAAUAAUUUGAAUGUAAUUAUUAAAAAGUGUUGCUAAAAGGCGUGCUCAAGUUUGCACUUUGGCUUUCUCUUCCUAACCCUAUUCUGUUGGAGCUGUUUGCACCACGUUAGAACAGCCCCCUUAAGCUUCAUGUGACAAAAUCUACUUAUCAUCUGGUUGGCACACUCAUGAGUUUUACAUUAGGGUUUGACUAAGGCAGAGAUCUGAGACUUGGGAAAAAAACACAACAAAUUCACCAAAAGUUUGGGAAGAGGUCUAAUAACUAAUAACUACGAAACAACUAAAAAUAAAAAGCAACGACUCGAUCUAGGCAUAAUGACAAAGAUGAGAAUACAGAAAGUAUGGUGAUGCAAGUUGCAGCUGUUCGGUCAUGGUUUUUUCAUUAUGUCAAUCACCAUCAGGUUUUACAAUGAUGCUGCCAAGCAAAUUUGUUGUAGGUGAUGAAGCAGCAGAAAAGUAAAUGAUGCCAGCUGAUUACACAAGAUGGACUAAAAUUCUAAAUAAAGAUUAAAUUAAGAAAAAUUUCAAUCAAAACAAC
Molecule: long non-coding RNA, 3398 nt
Filed under: Phoenix dactylifera (date palm)
Lineage: Eukaryota; Viridiplantae; Streptophyta; Magnoliopsida; Arecales; Arecaceae
Description: long non-coding RNA (PDAC_LNC012465)
Source: RNAcentral